RNAcentral lists this ribosomal RNA (468 nucleotides) under uncultured bacterium. RNAcentral's name for it is "partial 16S ribosomal RNA". It matches the Rfam family "Bacterial small subunit ribosomal RNA", at positions 28 to 507 of the family's 1533-position model. The record is from RNAcentral.
GACGAACGCUGGCGGCGUGCUUAACACAUGCAAGUCGAACGGAAAGGCCCUGCUUGUGUGGGGUGCUCGAGUGGCGAACGGGUGAGUAACACGUGAGUAACCUGCCCUUGACUUUGGGAUAACUUCAGGAAACUGGGGCUAAUACCGGAUAGGAGCUCCUGCGGCAUGGUGGGGGUUGGAAAGUUUCGGCGGUUGGGGAUGGACUCGCGGCUUAUCAGCUUGUUGGUGGGGUAGUGGCUUACCAAGGCUUUGACGGGUAGCCGGCCUGAGAGGGUGACCGGCGACAUUGGGACUGCGAUACGGCCCAGACUCCUACGGGAGGCAGCAGUGGGGAAUAUUGCACAAUGGGCGGAAGCCUGAUGCAGCAACGCCGCGUGCGGGAUGACGGCCUUCGGGUUGUAAACCGCUUUCGCCUGUGACGAAGCGUGAGUGACGGUAAUGGGUAAAGAAGCACCGGCUAACUACGUG